GUCUCCAGCCAUGCCACCCUGAACAAGCCCGAUCCCGUCUGAUCUCAGAAGCUAAGCAGGGUCAGGGCCUGGUUAGUACCUGGGAGACCACCUAGGAAGACCAAGUGCUGUAGGGG
This 116-nucleotide ribosomal RNA is filed under the name Pteropus alecto (black flying fox). Lineage: Eukaryota; Metazoa; Chordata; Mammalia; Chiroptera; Pteropodidae. The record is from RNAcentral.